UGGUUCUGGCAUCGAUGAAGAACGCAGCGAAAUGCGAUAAGUAAUGCGAAUUGCAGAAUUCCAGUGAGUCAUCGAAUCUUUGAACGCACAUUGCGCCCUUUGGUAUUCCGAAGGGCAUGCCUGUUCGAGCGUCAUUAUCACCCCUCAGGCCCCGUGCUUGGUGUUGGACGGCCGGUUGAGGCCCCCUCGACCCCUCCUAAAGAUAAAGACGGCGACCUGUGGCUCCCCCGGUACACUGAGCUUCUCACCGAGCACGUAUUGGACAAGGGCGCCCAGGACCCGGUCUUCUCCUCUCACGAGGAAAUUUUUCUAAGGUUGACCUCGGAUCAGGUAGGAAUACGCGCUGA
This 347-nucleotide unclassified non-coding RNA is filed under the name uncultured fungus. Its description in RNAcentral is "partial contains 5.8S ribosomal RNA and internal transcribed spacer 2". The stretch from base 1 to 134 matches the Rfam family "5.8S ribosomal RNA", at positions 22 to 154 of the family's 154-position model. The record is from RNAcentral. Lineage: Eukaryota; Fungi.